UGACGGUACCUGAAGAAGAAGCACCGGCUAACUACGUGCCAGCAGCCGCGGUAAUACGUAGGGUGCGAGCGUUAAUCGGAAUUACUGGGCGUAAAGCGUGCGCAGGCGGUGACUCAAGUCAGAUGUGAAAUCCCCGGGCUUAACCUGGGAACUGCAUUUGAAACUAGGUCGCUAGAGUAUGGCAGAGGGGGGUAGAAUUCCACGUGUAGCAGUGAAAUGCGUAGAGAUGUGGAGGAAUACCGAUGGCGAAGGCAGCCCCCUAGGUCAAUACUGACGCUCAUGCACGAAAGCGUGGGGAGCAAACAGGAUUAGAUACCCUGGUAGUCCACGCCCUAAACGAUGUCAACUAGUUGUCGGAGGGGGAGACCUCUUUGGUAACGCAGCUAACGCGUGAAGUUGACCGCCUGGGGAGUACGGUCGCAAGAUUA
This 428-nucleotide ribosomal RNA is filed under the name uncultured bacterium. Its description in RNAcentral is "bacterial SSU rRNA". It matches the Rfam family "Bacterial small subunit ribosomal RNA", at positions 470 to 896 of the family's 1533-position model. The record is from RNAcentral.